This 2615-nucleotide ribosomal RNA is filed under the name human gut metagenome. RNAcentral describes it as "bacterial LSU rRNA". It matches the Rfam family "Bacterial large subunit ribosomal RNA". The record is from RNAcentral.
UUAAGUAAGGAAGGGCGUACGGCGAAUGCCUUGCCACUCGAAACUGAAGAAGGACGCGCCAAACUGCGAAAAGCUCCGUGAAGCUGUAAGGAAGCGAAGAAGCGGAGGUGUCCGAAUGGGGGAACCCGGCAGCAGACAUGAGCUGUCAUCUGCAGGUGAAUACAUGGCCUGCAAGAGAGGUACCCGGCGAACUGAAACAUCUAAGUAGCCGGAGGAAAAGAAAACAACAGUGAUUCCCUGAGUAGCGGCGAGCGAAAGGGGAGAAGCCCAAACCGGUUGAAGGACCGGGGUUGAAGGACCAUGACAUGGCAAGAACGAGGAUAGGAGAACGGGAUCGAAAGCCCGGCCGAAGAAGGUGAAAGCCCUGUAACCGAAAUCCGAGUAAAGCCUAAUGGGAUCCUGAGUACGGCGAGACACGAGAAAUCUUGUCGGAAGCAGGCGGGACCAUCCGCCAAGGCUAAAUAUAAACGAGUGAGCGAUAGUGAACCAGUACCGUGAGGGAAAGGUGAAAAGAACCGCGGGAGCGGAGUGAAAGAGAACCUGAAACCGUAUGCCUACAAGAAGUCAGAGCCCGUUAAGGGGUGAUGGCGUGCCUUUUGUAGAAUGAACCGGCGAGUUGCGACAGACUGCGAGGUUAAGGAGGAAAGACCGGAGCCGAAGCGAAAGCGAGUCUUAAGAGGGCGAAAGUAGGAUGUUGCAGACCCGAAACCGGGUGAUCUAGCCAUGAGCAGGUUGAAGUUGAGGUGAAACUCAAUGGAGGACCGAACCGACUACCGUUGAAAAGUUAGCGGAUGACUUGUGGCUAGGGGAGAAAUUCCAAUCGAACCCGGAGAUAGCUGGUUCUCCCCGAAAUAGCUUUAGGGCUAGCGUCGGAAAGAACCUUAGUGAAGGUAGAGCACUGAAUGUGUGAUGGCCCCAUCCCGGGGUACUGAAUACAAUCAAACUGCGAAUGUCAUUAAGGAUGUCCGGCAGUCAGACUGUGAGUGAUAAGGUCCAUGGUCAAGAGGGAAACAGCCCAGACCGCCAGUUAAGGUCCCAAAAUACAGGCUAAGUGGAAAAGGAUGUGGGGAUGCCCAGACAACUAGGAGGUUGGCUCAGAAGCAGCCAUCCUUUAAAGAGUGCGUAACAGCUCACUAGUCGAGUGACCCUGCGCCGAAAAUGUACCGGGGCUAAGCCUGAUACCGAAACUGCGGAUUGUAGGAAACUAUAGUGGUAGGGGAGCGUUGUAUACGAGCAGAAGCCGUACCGUGAGGAGCGGUGGAUUGUAUAGAAGUGAGAAUGCCGGUGUGAGUAGCGAGAUGUAGGUGAGAAUCCUACACACCGAAAGCCCAAGGAUUCCAGGGGAAGGUUCGUCCGCCCUGGGUAAGUCGGGACCUAACGCGAGGCCGAAAGGCGUAGUGGAUGGAAAGCAGGCGAAAGAUUCCUGCACCCGUAUAUGGAGCGAAGGAGUGACGGAGACGGAUAGUGUGACCCUCUUAAUGGAUUGAGGGCGAAGCGAAGCGGCUGGUUACCAGGCAAAUCCGGUAACCAUAAGGCUAGAGCGUGACAGGUAAGCGAAAUCUUAGGAAAGUAGCGAAGCACAUGAUGACGGCUUCCAGGAAAAGCUUCUGGCAAUGCAUAUGCGGCCCGUACCAAAACCGACACAGGUGGGCAGGGAGAGAAUCCCGAGGUGAGCGAGAGAACUGUUGCCAAGGAACUCGGCAAAAUGACUCCGUAAGUUAGCGAGAAGGAGUGCUUAAGCAAUUAAGCCGCAGUGAAGAGGCCCAAGCGACUGUUUAACUAAAACACAGCUCUCUGCGAAGUCGCAAGACGAAGUAUAGGGGGUGACACCUGCCCGGUGCUGGAAGGUUAAGAGGAUCUGUUAAGAGCGAUCUGAAGCAGUGAUCCGAAGCCCCAGUGAACGGCGGCCGUAACUAUAACGGUCCUAAGGUAGCGAAAUUCCUUGUCAGGUAAGUUCUGACCCGCACGAAAGGUGUAACGAUUUGGGCGCUGUCUCGGCAGCAGACUCGGUGAAAUCUUAGUACCUGUGAAAAUGCAGGUUACCCGCAACUAGACGGAAAGACCCCAUGGAGCUUUACUGCAGCCUGAUAUUGAAUUCUGGUCAUACAUGUACAGGAUAGGUGGGAGACAAAGAGACGUGCACGCCAGUGUACGAGGAGUCGACGUUGGGAUACCACUCUUGUGUGACCGGGGUUCUAACCUGGUAUCGAGAACAGGUACGGGGAGAGUGUCAGGUGGGCAGUUUGACUGGGGCGGUCGCCUCCCAAAGAGUAACGGAGGCGCCCAAAGGUACGCUCAGAUUGGAUGGAAACCAAUCGUCGAGUGCAAUUGCAGAAGCGUGCUUGACUGUGAGACAGACAAGUCGAACAGGGACGAAAGUCGGGAAUAGUGAUCCGGCGGUGCCGAAUGGAAGGGCCGUCGCUCAACGGAUAAAAGCUACCCUGGGGAUAACAGGCUGAUCUCGCCCAAGAGUUCACAUCGACGGCGAGGUUUGGCACCUCGAUGUCGGCUCAUCGCAUCCUGGAGCUGGAUUCGGUUCCAAGGGUUGGGCUGUCCGCCCAUUAAAGCGGUACGCGAGCUGGGUUCAGAACGUCGUGAGACAGUUCGGUCCCUAU